GCUAUCCGCCCGGGAACUUACGAGCACUAGCUUAAAACCCAAAGGACUUUGGCGGUGCUUUAGAUCCACCUAGAGGAGCCUGUUCUAGAACCGAUAACCCCCGUUAAACCUCACCCUCCCUUGUUCUUCCCGCCUAUAUACCGCCGUCGUCAGCUUACCCUAUGAAGGACCCACAGUAAGCAGAACUAGUACAACUCAAAACGCCAGGUCGAGGUGUAGCAUAUGAGAGGGGAAGAAAUGGGCUACAUUCCCUACCACAGGGAAUACGAACAAUGUAAUGAAAUAUACAUUAGAAGGAGGAUUUAGCAGUAAGCAGAAAAUAGAGCGUUCCGCUGAAACCGGCCCUGAAGCGCGCACACACCGCCCGUCACUCUCCCCAAGCCAACCAACACCCCAUAAAUAAUACAUUUUACCGGUAAAGGGGAGGCAAG
Molecule: ribosomal RNA, 431 nt
Filed under: Oreochromis niloticus (Nile tilapia)
Lineage: Eukaryota; Metazoa; Chordata; Actinopteri; Cichliformes; Cichlidae
Description: partial 12S ribosomal RNA
Rfam family: Bacterial small subunit ribosomal RNA
Source: RNAcentral